GUUCGGCCUGGCCGCGCCUCUCGUCGGCCUCCGGGCCUUCGCCCUGGGGGCACAGCCCGCAACGCACCUCGGCCUUCCAUGCGCGCGCUGGGCUGCUCCCCGCUCCCCGCCUUCUUCCGGGCUCCGAGAGCAACGCAGGGAAGCUUCUAGGCGUCUGGGGAGCAACUGGGAUCUCAAGGUCUUGCUAACGUGUCCACUGCGGCUGCUCGCGGGAAAGCAACGGAAGUUGGAGAGACUUUGCAACAGCUGCAAGAGUUUCAGUCCGGGGCAGAGAGCGACCACCGGGGCGAGGCGAAGUCCCGCGGCCGGCGUGCGCCCGACCCACGGGACCCCAAGGCCUCGCUGCUCCCGGGGCGGGCCCCACCUGGCCAAGAGCGCGCGGACGUGGGCUGCAGCCGCCCGCCUCGGCUCACCUUUCGUCAGCGUGUCCAGCACCCCCGACUUCUCCAAGUACCUCCGGAACUGCUCGCGCUUCGAGUCGGCGGCCUGAGGAGACACGGCGGGUCAGGGACCGGAGCCCGGGGCCGGAGCAGGAAGACGGCGCGCCCCGCCGCCGGCCCCAAGCCCUGCACACGCCCCAACUCCCACCCGGCGCCGCCCGCACGCCCCGAGCCACGCCGCGCCCCCCUCACUUUGUAAUGGGCCAUAGUGACAGCCACAGCGGCGUAGCUGGCGCCGGAGACACGGGCAGGCGGGCUCCAAGCCUCACUGCUCAUGCGCGGAACGGCGCGCGCGUCUGCGCACUGGGCAGGCACGGGCCGGGGCCACCGGGGUGUGGCCUGUUUUCAUGGCGACCGGGACGCUGUGUAUCCCUGUCUCCUCGGAGCCUAGAGAGGCUGCGUGAGCCCGCCCUCCGCGGUUCCGGGCAGUCUCGCGUCUUCCUGUUCCGGUUGCCGCGGCGAUUCGGUUGCCUAGCAAGAGGCGAGGUUUAGGAGUUGGGGAAGAGUAUUCAUGCCGUGGUGCAGUUGGAGAUCGGAAGACUCAUAGGACUUGCUCUCCUUCCACCGCAUUCACUUAUUUUAGAUGGUGGGUCCCCUGGAAGGAGUGUAUCGCUGCUGCAAGCUUCUAAGAUGUUUCCAUCCCGGCCUGCUGUGGGCAGUCCCUGUUAUGAACUACAUAGCACAAUGUUGAGGUAAAUUUGAAGAAGAAGAGGAAGAGGAAGAGGAGGAGGAAGAGGAGGAGGAGGAAGAGGAAGAGGAGGAGAAGAGGAGGAGGAGGAGGAGGAGGAGGAGGAGGUGGUGGUGGUGGUGGUCUUGGUGUCAUACACAUUUAAUCCCCACAUUAGAAGGCAGGGGCAGACAGAUCUCUGUGAGUGAGAGGCCAGCCUGGCCUACAUAGCUCCAGAGAGUGUGACCCUGUCUCAAAAACAAACAAACAAACAAACAAACAAAAACGGUGAUCAACUAUGUCAAGAUGAACAAACUUCUUGGUGCAAAUAGAUGAAUACACAGAAAUUUUGUAAGCAGCCAUAUCCACUGCUUCAAACGUUUCGUAAAGGUAAAAUUGAGCACAUUAUUAGAAGAGCUUAGUAAGGGGGCACUUGGACUGACUGAGUAUAUCUCAUUACAGGACUAAUUAUAUUUAAUAAUUUAUUAACAAUUGUUCCUCCCAUCUCCUCAGCUCAUCUUUAGGCAUACUGGUUUUCCUGAGGAGUGGUCUAUGUGUAGCCCUGGCUGCCCUGGAACUUGCUGUAGAGACCAACCUAGCCUUGAACUCGAGAUGCACCUGCCUCUGCCUGCCUAGUGCCAGGGUUAAAGGUGUCAACCACCAUGCCCUGCUGUUUCCUGUCUCUUAAGCUCUCAUGUAUAAUAAACUCAGGACUUCAUGCCUUGAUAGCAAGCACUCUUUGCCCACUGAGCCAUCUGCCCAGGGCACAUUUCUCAGUGUAGCCUCUAAAGAAACACUUGUUGCUCUCCUUUUAACCAUCAAACUAUUACAAGGAAUUGGACUUUCCCCAGAAAUUUCCUCAGAGAGGUUUGAAGCCUGGAUCCAACAAGAAGAGAAACUUGUCUUGGGCAAAGGGAUUUCUCACCUCUUGUCUGACUAUCUUCCAAGAGACUGUGGCCAAGACAGUGAUGAAUCGGUCCGUAGCUUUCCCGGAACUGCUCAGAUAUGCAUGAUUCUGGCUCCUUACUUACACCUAAAUCUCAGGUCAGGACCUGGAAGGUCACUGCGUCUCUUUGUCCUACUUCCCAGCACAGCCAUAUUGAGUAACCUUUUUCUAGUUUUCACUCUCAAGUCUGUCUUUAAUUUGCUUCAGAGAUGUGUUACUAAGCUUGGUUUGUUGGGCCACUAGGGCCCAAGCACUAUCCUGAUAGCUCCAAAAAUAAGGUAUACAUCAAGAAUAAACAGAUGAGGGCUGGCGAGAUGGCUCAGUGAUGAAGAACCCUGGCUGCUCUUUUAGAGGACACAGGUUUGAUUCCUGUAGCCCAUGUGGUGACUCACAACCAUCUGUAACUGGUUCCCACAGACACUGCAAGCAUUUGGUACAUUAACAUACAUGUAAGCAAAGCACCAUUCACAUAAAGAUAGAAUGAAGAAACUUUAAAGCAAAACUCUCCCAAUGGCUACCUGGCAUUUUUAAUUGUCCUUUCCGGUACAAUCCACCCUCUUGGCCAUGACCUGUGAGCAGCUGCUCUCUCACACUGUAGGAGGAUGGAGCUGCCUGUGACAGUGCCACCCAUUCCUAUCCAAGUGCUUGUGGGCGAUAAUCUCGGGAUUUGUACCAGAGGAGUUUGCAAAGUACUCUACCAAUUCCCGAGCAGACAGGGAGCAUCUUCCACUUAGGACAACGCUGGACACUGCCUGCUGCAGCGCCCCGGCUUGGCUGCCUGCUGCAGCGACCCGGCGUGGCUGGUGUUGGCCUCCUCCACAGAUAGUAAUCACCAAGCUUCAACUGCCAGAGCGCUCAAGUCUGAGCCCUAAAGGCUUCAAAGUAGCUGCUCAGCCCAGACUCACUAGCCUGCACCUUUAGACUUCAGAUGCUAAUUUACACAACUGGGAAUUCUCCAUCUGCUCCGCCCAAUCCUGCGUGCCCUACCUGUCCCCAUCCUUCCUACGCCCCACCCCCAUCCCACGAGCUAGCGUUUCACCGUUGGCGCUCACUUAAGCUCCUUCACGGGUACAGCAGCGGUUACUGGGGGGCCCUCUCAGUUUCUGGACGGAAGAUAUGGGCCCGGGACUGACCGGACUGACCGAAAGGAGCAAGAAAAACUAGACCUGAUCAAAUUGUGAACCAAAGAAAAGGCAACAACAUAUCAAUAACCUUGUGUCUGAGGACUAACUGUAGCCAAAUUCUUUAGAAUAAAUCAAAAUGAUUGAUCUGAGGGUACAGAAGGGGCCUUAGUUGAGAGAGUUAAGGAAAUCCCUAUCGGGCAUUCUUUCUUUCCUAGGAAACGGCUCCUAAGAUGGCCACCAGUGACUCAAACGAAACUUGUAGGGUGGGGGGAGUUCCCUCUCAGUAGGACCUCUGGGGUCCUACAAGUUCAUCCUCCAGGGACUUGAGGCUGCAACAUUCACAGUGGUCUCUUCGAAAGGACAAACACAGAUGAACAUCUGAGGGUCCCAGUGCUGACCCCAAUGGCUGCAGAGGCAGGUUCUGAAUGGGCCAUUCCUCCCCUGAAAAGGAUCUCCUAGGACACCCACAAGAAAUUUGAGAUGCAGGUUUGAAAAGAAUAUCCUUUCCAUCCAAAGGAUCUUUGGUGCUGGAACCAACAAUUAGGAGCAGGGGCAGGCUCUGCAGCUACAGGAUACAGCAGUCAAAAAGACCAGCCUUUUGAAAGGACCUGUGGAAUGGGAUGUUCAAUGGCCAAAGCAUGGGAGCCACUGUUAGAAGACCUGGCAAAACCCUCUUUAAUGAUGUCCAGCGACACUGAGACUGACCAGUCAGAAGCUUGAGUGCUGAAGGAGCCGACAUACAAUAACUCUAAGGAGAAAGUGGAGUCUAGCGCUGCGGUGAAGCCUGCAACAUGGGACUUGGAAAAGUCUUGCACUCCAAGGGUCCCAUCAAACUGUGGAGCAAGAAGGCUUCCAACACGCAGUGGAAAUGGUUAGGAGAGGAUCCAGUUUUAAUAGAAAACAAGCAUGUUGUUUUCUUUUCAGGAGAAGGAAGGACAGUGACUCCCAAAAGGGUGUGGAUGGCACAGGCAGGUGGCUUCAGUCGUGAUCUAUCAGGCACUCUCACAGCCCUGACUCUAGAUGGUGUGGCUCUCCUUGUGCUCGGGACAGGACAGAUGGACACUGCUUCUCCCACACCCACUGUUUUAGUACUUUGACAUUAGAACAUUUGCCGAAUGGGUUCUCAACAUUGUCAAACACGAAUUUCACCAGGAGAUCCACACCAUUAUUUGCUUAAAACUGAAUAGCCUUUCAAAUAGCACCAGCUUUCAAAGAAAGGGGUACCUUUAAAGCAAAGAUGUCUGUCCGUCCUUGGCCACCUGAUACUUGGUCUCUAGGGGUUGGGAAUUGGGGGGUGGGAGAGGUGCAGCAUCAGCUCAGAGCUACCUGGGAACACGUUUCAUGAUUCCUUGCCUUACCGGGUAAGUCUACCUCUUCCUCAGAAGCUGGUGCGACCUUCACCAUCUCGUCCAUGAACUCGGCAUAUUCUCAGCUCUCUGGUCCCAAGCCAGUCUCACCACAUACACGGAGCUUAGGAAGUUUGUGCCAAUUCUCAUUUCAUUGUCUUGUUGGGGUCACUCACUUGGCAUCUGUGGGGCACCCUGUUCGUUCAAGCCCAGCUGACCAGCAGUACCCUCCCCUUCCACUCUGUCAGCAUUAUGGGCCUGUACCAAACUGGGAUCCCAUCCACACUGCCUUCUCCUUUACUAGCAGGUUUCUUGUAACUCUCUCCUUGUGGGAGCCACGAGCUAAUAAAUAGCUCUUCGUGGUGCUGUUUGGCCAAUAGCUCUGAGACCCGGGACUUCUCCUCAGCAGACUUGGUUUAUUCUGUCCCAUGGCCUUGGGCCAAGCUCCCUGACCUUUUCCUGCAACCACUGGGGCUGUGCCUCCCCUCCUGGGCUAGUAGGUUAACUUCUACCUUGUCUAUGAUGGCUGUAAUACUUCCUAUUGCCAGCUCUGCAGUGUUUCUUAUAUGGUCACCACAAUUUGGUGUAUCUAAACAUUACUCGUGGCCCUCUAUGUUGUACUUUGUCACUACGUCCCCUGAGAGGUCCUUCCACACCACCUCCUGGCUAUUAGUCACAUUUGUUUUAUUUUUGACUGGGUUUUCUAACCAGGGUGCGGUCCGGGCCUUCUGCAAGUACCUUUUGUUCCUGUAUUUAUGUGGUAUUUUGUGGAUUUGAGUGGUCCUCUAUUAUUCUUGUUUGCUUUGCUAAGUAAGGUCAUGCCCUUAAAUUGAAGGUAGUUUUAGUUGUUAUUGUCACUAUCUCAGUCUUUCCUUGGGUAGCAGAGGUGGCGUGGCGGACUUUGAGGAAUCAGUCUGUAGAACCUCUGUGGUGACAAAUGAGGGCAGGCUGCCAAAGGCAUAGACCCACACUCACUAGCAGAGUCUGCAACUAUGGAGUAUGUCCUGCUUUGACCCAUUUCCACUAAUAAAGAUGAGAAAGUGCCUUGCUAAUCUGUAGAUCGCCCAGACACCUGCGGUUGGCUGGCGCAGCACAAGCGGUUUGACCCUUGGGAAGCAAAUGGACCUGUAGUGGCUAUCCCAGCGGCUUGCCCACCCCACACCUAUCUCCUGUGCUGAGGGUGUGGGAGCCCAGUGCUUGAGAACUCUUGGAAACUCCUCCUGCUCUCCUGAGGACCAGGCCUUUCCCCUCUCAAAGCCUCUCCAGUGCUCUCCAAGUUCUCAGGAGCUUGGCAGUUCUCCCCACUCCCCACCCACACAGUGUUAUGCUCCCAUCACCCCACUCUCAUUAUCAGAGUUCCCCAGCCUCUGGCACCCACACUGCACCCUUGCCCUGGUCUGGGACCUGAUGAACUCCUGCAGGGCCCCAGCUCUAGCCACCCUGCCUGUCUAUAAUGCAGUGGGCAGAGACAGGGAAGAGGGCUGUGGGUUUUAGGCCCAUAACUGAGUCUUUGGUACCCGUGCCUCUGGACCAUGCCUCUAAGCAUGGAAGCAUCUAUGAACAACAGCUGCAUGUGGGAAGGCACAGGUAGAUGAGAGGAAGCCGUGGCAAGUAAGAGGCUGGAGACAAGAGACAGAGUCCUCCAGGGAGCCGGAGGAUGGGUGGCCAAGCCUAAGUUCAGCUAUCAGGACCCAGGCAGCUUUAAUAACUCCAGUGAUAGCUGUCAAACUGCCUGGAGAAAAUACGCAUUUUGAGUGGCAGCCAUUGGCUGCAAGCUGACUCUGCCUGGAGAACAAAUGGUUGAACUGCCCCAAACAGCUUCUAGAAUUUGCUUUAUUCCAGGGAAGGUUUUUUGUUUGUUUGUUUUCCCAACCUCCUGCUUUUUAGCCAGUAUCUUCUGUUCUAGUAGGUGAUGCCACAAAGGGCUUCACUUUGGAUUUUUUAGAAAGCUUGACCCUUACUUACCAUGUCUUCCCCAGAGUGCUCCCAGUCAGGUUUGGCCUUCCUUUAGGUUGGAGCUCUUGAGUAGUUCAGGUUCUUUUUAAGCCAUUUUUGGUGACUGGCUUUGUCUUUCCUGGUUCGCCCGAGCUGUUUCUGUUUUACAGAGCUAUGUUUGGGCCCAUUUGCCAUUUGUGUUCUGGGCCUUAAACCAUUUAGGUGUCUGGUGUGGGACAAAGAAGGCUUUGGGGUGGGGGGCUCGGCUCAGAGUAUUGUGGUUCUCCAAAUCUUCAUGUUGGAUCAUGGGCAAGCCACCAGUCACUCAAAGCUGGCCCAAUCUCACAGACUAAAAGUCUCAGACCACAUUCCCUUCAGCUCUCUCUGGGCUGAGCAUUAAGAAGCCAUGCUGGGCUGAGAUUUUUUUUUUUUUUUUUUUACAGCCCCUAAUGCAUGGUCCUACCCCAGGUACUUGGCUCUUCCAUACUAAAAGAAGCUAUCCCAGACUAACUAGUCAUGUAGGCUAACUCAGACUAAAUCACACGGGUGAAACUUGCCAGCACCCAUUUUCUUUUUUGGGGGGAUAUUUCUCACAGCCUUGGGCUCUGCAGCCCAUCAUCACCCUGUCCAUGAUAACGCUCUUAUUUGUAGCUGUCUUUUAAUGGUGUUCCUCUCAAGUUUUCAAGGGCAGCUUCUCCUUCCCUUUAAGGCCCAUCUGAUAUAUUAUACUGCCUCUUUGUGGUGGAGACCCUUUCUCCCGAUAAAGCUCAUUCCUGAAGGGUAAGUUUGUGGCCACCCCUUUCCCAAAGCAACACACUGCACCUCCUCAACUCAUUUGAAAUAGAUACACAAGAGUUACAAGGACAUUUCUGUUCAGUUAUGUAAACAUGAAAAAUAUUAAGAGUAUUCUCUUGGUGCCCCCCUAGGGAGAAUUCUAGCUGACCAGCCUUUGGCAAACUCAUGAGCCUUUCUAAAGCAGCAGGAGACAGAAACAAUUUUCCCUAAAGUUCCUACACAUAACCACUAAACCCAGGCCACUUGAUUUUUGAUUUUCAAUAAUUUUUCUUUGUCUCUGUACCAGAAUUCCCAUUCUUGGUGGCUUGUCUGUGUAUUAUCAUGUGUAUGUAUCAGUGUAGCUCUUUAAGAGACAUUGUUGAACUGUUAAUAAGCUGGA
RNA transcript from Mus musculus (house mouse), 7632 nucleotides. It is a transcript of the gene named RIKEN cDNA D130007C19 gene, with no coding region annotated. The record is from RefSeq and is a predicted model, not a curated record. The transcript has 5 exons. NCBI's taxonomy places the organism in Eukaryota, Metazoa, Chordata, Mammalia, Rodentia, Muridae.